ACUCAAAACUCAAAGGACUUGACGGUGUCCCAAACCAACCUAGAGGAGCCUGUCAUAUAAUCGAUAAUCCACGUUUUACCCCACCCCCCUUUGAAACCAGCCUGUAUACCGCCGUCUCUCAGUUCGCCUUAUGACAGACCCAAAGCGAACACAACAGCCCACCACUAGGACGUCAGGUCAAGGUGCAGCCAAUAGGGGGGCAGCGAUGGGCUACAUUUUCUAAUACAAUAGAACAUCACCAGCCACCACAUGAAAUACGGGUCAAAAGGCGGAUUUAGCAGUAAGCCAGACA
This 292-nucleotide ribosomal RNA is filed under the name Tarentola fascicularis (Wolfgang's wall gecko). Its description in RNAcentral is "partial 12S ribosomal RNA". Lineage: Eukaryota; Metazoa; Chordata; Lepidosauria; Squamata; Phyllodactylidae. The record is from RNAcentral.